RNAcentral lists this ribosomal RNA (468 nucleotides) under uncultured bacterium. Its description in RNAcentral is "partial 16S ribosomal RNA". It matches the Rfam family "Bacterial small subunit ribosomal RNA", at positions 28 to 507 of the family's 1533-position model. The record is from RNAcentral.
GACGAACGCUGGCGGCGUGCUUAACACAUGCAAGUCGAACGGAAAGGCCCUGCUUUUGUGGGGUGCUCGAGUGACGAACGGGUGAGUAACACGUGAGUAACCUGCCCUUGACUUUGGGAUAACUUCAGGAAACUGGGGCUAAUACCGGAUAGGAGCUCCUGCUGCAUGGUGGGGGUUGGAAAGUUUCGGCGGUUGGGGAUGGACUCGCGGCUUAUCAGCUUGUUGGUGGGGUAGUGGCUUACCAAGGCUUUGACGGGUAGCCGGCCUGAGAGGGUGACCGGCCACAUUGGGACUGCGAUACGGCCCAGACUCCUACGGGAGGCAGCAGUGGGGAAUAUUGCACAAUGGGCGGAAGCCUGAUGCAGCAACGCCGCGUGCGGGAUGACGGCCUUCGGGUUGUAAACCGCUUUCGCCUGUGACGAAGCGUGAGUGACGGUAAUGGGUAAAGAAGCACCGGCUAACUACGUG